Pararge aegeria (speckled wood butterfly) is the source of this 369-nucleotide long non-coding RNA. RefSeq lists it as uncharacterized. The transcript is spliced from 3 exons. NCBI's taxonomy places the organism in Eukaryota, Metazoa, Arthropoda, Insecta, Lepidoptera, Nymphalidae. The record is from RefSeq and is a predicted model, not a curated record.
GACAACUACACGCCCGCUAUCUUGUUUGAAGGUGCAGCACAAUGCGUGAACAUGUAUCCACCCAGCGAGGAUGAUCCAGCGACGAGUGGCAGCACGUGUUGAGAUCCACACCUACAUCGGCACGUGGUUGAAUCUUGCGUGAACGACGGCGCGGCGCCAAUCUCCGAAGCAAGGCCCGCAUCAUGUGGAAAGGCGAAAAUCAGACACUUUGUCUGGCGAUGACUGCUGCAACAAAAGUGAGGUAGAGGAGGCGUCUACUGAUGCUGAGUGUUCUGCUGAGGAAAGGAGGAAGAGAGAAAAAACGACCUGAGACGUCUAUAGUGAAGGGGAAGUGGCGCCUAGUACAGAGGAGUCUGUCAGCUGCCGAUC